GCCAGGUGCAGUCUUGUGCACCUGUAAUGCAUGCACUUGCAGACCCAAAUAUCCAGGAGGCUGAGAUAGGAUGAUGGGUUGAGUCCAGGAGUUCAGAGUCAGGCUGGGCAAUAUAAUGAGACCCUGUUUCUU
Molecule: small RNA, 132 nt
Filed under: Marmota monax (woodchuck)
Lineage: Eukaryota; Metazoa; Chordata; Mammalia; Rodentia; Sciuridae
Source: RNAcentral